AUACGGAGGGUGCAAGCGUUAUCCGGAAUCAUUGGGUUUAAAGGGUCCGUAGGCGGACUAUUAAGUCAGAGGUGAAAUCCCACAGCUCAACUGUGGAACUGCCUUUGAUACUGGUAGUCUUGGGUUAUAUGGAAGUAGAUAGAAUGUGUAGUGUAGCGGUGAAAUGCAUAGAUAUUACACAGAAUACCGAUUGCGAAGGCAGUCUACUACGUAUAUACUGACGCUAAGGGACGAAAGCGUGGGGAGCGAACAGGAUUAGAAACCCUAGUAGUCC
Molecule: ribosomal RNA, 274 nt
Filed under: uncultured bacterium
Lineage: Bacteria
Description: partial 16S ribosomal RNA
Rfam family: Bacterial small subunit ribosomal RNA
Source: RNAcentral